This 497-nucleotide ribosomal RNA is filed under the name uncultured bacterium. RNAcentral describes it as "partial 16S ribosomal RNA". It matches the Rfam family "Bacterial small subunit ribosomal RNA", at positions 28 to 507 of the family's 1533-position model. The record is from RNAcentral.
GAUGAACGCUGGCGGCGUGCCUAAUACAUGCAAGUCGAGCGAACAGACGAGGAGCUUGCUCCUCUGACGUUAGCGGCGGACGGGUGAGUAACACGUGGAUAACCUACCUAUAAGACUGGGAUAACUUCGGGAAACCGGAGCUAAUACCGGAUAAUAUAUUGAACCGCAUGGUUCAAUAGUGAAAGACGGUUUUGCUGUCACUUAUAGAUGGAUCCGCGCCGCAUUAGCUAGUUGGUAAGGUAACGGCUUACCAAGGCAACGAUGCGUAGCCGACCUGAGAGGGGGAGCGGCCACAGUAGAACUGGAACACGGUCAAGACCCCUACGGGAGGCAGCAGUGGGGAUUCUUCCGAAAGGGGAGAAGGCCUGACGGAACACGCCCGGGGGAGUGAUAAAGGUUUUCGGAUCGUAAAACUUUGUUAUUAGGGAAAAAAAAAGGUGAAAGAAACUAGGCCCGCCUUGAGGGAACCUAAUAAGAAGGCCCGGCCUAACUACGUC